CAUGCCAAAUGGAUAAAAACGGAGCAAAUACGAAUCCGAUAAAAAUGUUAGUCAGAAUCGCAUAUUUUCACCGUUAAGGAACUUUAGUUGUAGAUGAAUUUCACUUCAACAAACUGCUCACAUAUUCAUAAUUAUUAUUAAGUAGGAAUAAAUCUUAGCUGAGCUAUGACAAUUUCGUGAUUAAUUGCUUUUCUUUUGUUAUGCACUGUUUUAAUUAGGCACAGAGGUGAAAAUAUGCGACUCUGACUAACAUUUUUUAUCGGACUCGUAAUUGCUGAUUUUUUCUCCACUUGGCAUG
Molecule: non-coding RNA, 298 nt
Organism: Paramuricea clavata
Lineage: Eukaryota; Metazoa; Cnidaria; Anthozoa; Malacalcyonacea; Plexauridae
Source: the annotation of a GenBank genome assembly